UCCUGUUACUAAGUACUAGUGCCGCAGGAGUACUUUCAACCUCCUGCUGCUCAAGUGCUUAUCAAUUGGA
This 70-nucleotide microRNA precursor is filed under the name Oryctes borbonicus. RNAcentral's name for it is "mir-252 microRNA precursor family". It matches the Rfam family "mir-252 microRNA precursor family". The record is from Rfam by way of RNAcentral. Lineage: Eukaryota; Metazoa; Arthropoda; Insecta; Coleoptera; Scarabaeidae.